GAACGAGUUCUCGUUGAUGAUCGGUGCUUGCACCGAGAUUCAACAUGGAACGAGUGGCGGACGGGUGAGUAACACGUGGGUAACCUGCCCUUAAGUGGGGGAUAACAUUUGGAAACAGAUGCUAAUACCGCAUAGAUCCAAGAACCGCAUGGUUCUUGGCUGAAAGAUGGCGUAAGCUAUCGCUUUUGGAUGGACCCGCGGCGUAUUAGCUAGUUGGUGAGGUGAUGGCUCACCAAGGCGAUGAUACGUAGCCGAACUGAGAGGUUGAUCGGCCACAUUGAGACUGAGACACGGCCCAAACUCCUACGGGAGGCAGCAGUAGGGAAUCUUCCACAAUGGACGCAAGUCUGAUGGAGCAACGCCGCGUGAGUGAAGAAGGCUUUCGGGUCGUAAAACUCUGUUGUUGGAGAAGAAUGGUCGGCAGAGUAACUGUUGUCGGCGUGACGGUAUCCAACCAGAAAGCCACGGCUAACUACGUGCCAGCAGCCGCGGUAAUACGUAGGUGGCAAGCGUUAUCCGGAUUUAUUGGGCGUAAAGCGAGCGCAGGCGGUUUUUUAAGUCUGAUGUGAAAGCCCUCGGCUUAACCGAGGAAGCGCAUCGGAAACUGGGAAACUUGAGUGCAGAAGAGGACAGUGGAACUCCAUGUGUAGCGGUGAAAUGCGUAGAUAUAUGGAAGAACACCAGUGGCGAAGGCGGCUGUCUGGUCUGUAACUGACGCUGAGGCUCGAAAGCAUGGGUAGCGAACAGGAUUAGAUACCCUGGUAGUCCAUGCCGUAAACGAUGAAUGCUAGGUGUUGGAGGGUUUCCGCCCUUCAGUGCCGCAGCUAACGCAUUAAGCAUUCCGCCUGGGGAGUACGAC
RNAcentral lists this ribosomal RNA (859 nucleotides) under uncultured bacterium. RNAcentral's name for it is "bacterial SSU rRNA". It matches the Rfam family "Bacterial small subunit ribosomal RNA", at positions 64 to 886 of the family's 1533-position model. The record is from RNAcentral.